UACGUAGGGUGCAAGCGUUGUCCGGAAUUAUUGGGCGUAAAGAGCUCGUAGGCGGUCUGUCGCGUCGGCUGUGAAAACCCGGAGCUCAACUCCGGGCCUGCAGUCGAUACGGGCAAACUGGAGUGCUGCAGGGGAGACUGGAAUUCCUGGUGUAGCGGUGAAAUGCGCAGAUAUCAGGAGGAACACCGGUGGCGAAGGCGGGUCUCUGGGCAACAACUGACGCUGAGGAGCGAAAGCUGGGGGAGCAAACAGG
Molecule: ribosomal RNA, 253 nt
Filed under: uncultured bacterium
Lineage: Bacteria
Description: partial 16S ribosomal RNA
Rfam family: Bacterial small subunit ribosomal RNA
Source: RNAcentral